This 1388-nucleotide ribosomal RNA is filed under the name metagenome. RNAcentral's name for it is "bacterial SSU rRNA". It matches the Rfam family "Bacterial small subunit ribosomal RNA". The record is from RNAcentral.
AGAGUUUGAUCCUGGCUCAGGAUGAACGCUAGCGACAGGCCUAACACAUGCAAGUCGAGGGGUAACAUGAGUGCUUGCACUUGAUGACGACCGGCGCACGGGUGCGUAACGCGUAUGCAACUUACCUUGUACUGGGGAAUAGCCCGUGGAAACGCGGAUUAAUGUCCCAUAACACUACAAUUUCGCAUGGAAAAGUGGUUAAAGUUCCGACGGUACAAGAUGGGCAUGCGUGACAUUAGCUAGUUGGUGAGGUAAGGGCUCACCAAGGCGACGAUGUCUAGGGGUUCUGAGAGGAAGGUCCCCCACACUGGUACUGAGACACGGACCAGACUCCUACGGGAGGCAGCAGUGAGGAAUAUUGGUCAAUGGGCGCAAGCCUGAACCAGCCAUGUCGCGUGCAGGAAGACUGCCCUACGGGUUGUAAACUGCUUUUGUAUGGGAAGAAACGUUGGUACGUGUACCAAUUUGCCGGUACCAUACGAAUAAGGAUCGGCUAACUCCGUGCCAGCAGCCGCGGUAAUACGGAGGAUCCAAGCGUUAUCCGGAUUUAUUGGGUUUAAAGGGUGCGUAGGCGGUAGAAUAAGUCAGUGGUGAAAUCCUGCAGCUUAACUGUAGAACUGCCAUUGAUACUGUUUUACUUGAGUGUAAUUGAGGUAGGCGGAAUGUGUUGUGUAGCGGUGAAAUGCAUAGAUAUAACACAGAACACCGAUUGCGAAGGCAGCUUACUAAGUUAUAACUGACGCUGAUGCACGAAAGCGUGGGUAGCGAACAGGAUUAGAUACCCUGGUAGUCCACGCCGUAAACGAUGAUUACUCGCUGUAGGCAAUACACCGUCUGUGGCUGAGCGAAAGCAUUAAGUAAUCCACCUGGGGAGUACGUUGGCAACAAUGAAACUCAAAGGAAUUGACGGGGGCCCGCACAAGCGGAGGAACAUGUGGUUUAAUUCGAUGAUACGCGAGGAACCUUACCUGGACUUAAAUGUAGAUUGACGUAUCCAGAGAUGGAUAUUUCUUCGGACAAUUUACAAGGUGCUGCAUGGUUGUCGUCAGCUCGUGCCGUGAGGUGUCGGGUUAAGUCCCAUAACGAGCGCAACCCCUGUUGUUAGUUACCAGCACAUCAUGGUGGGGACUCUAACAAGACUGCCGGUGUAAACCGCGAGGAAGGUGGGGAUGACGUCAAAUCAGCACGGCCCUUACGUCCAGGGCUACACACGUGUUACAAUGGCCGGUACAGAGGGCAGCUACUUGGUGACAAGAUGCGAAUCUCAAAAACCGGUCUCAGUUCGGAUCGAAGUCUGCAACCCGACUUCGUGAAGCUGGAUUCGCUAGUAAUCGCAUAUCAGCCAUGAUGCGGUGAAUACGUUCCCGGGCCUUGUACACACCUAAAAG